UGAGGAUUGGGAAUUGCAGUAUUAUCUUGUUUCUGUUAAAGGGUUCUCCCUCCUGCUUUUCUGAAUCACCUCCUUCUUAUGUUUCUCCCCAAAUCUGAUCUAGCCUAAAGAAUGCAGGAAUUCUGGUGAAUAAAAUUCUCUAUCUGGUUAUACUUCCUUUGAACAAAUAUUUAAUGAGUGCCUGCUGUGGUCUGAGAGCUCUACUAUGAAUAAUCUCUCACAUUUGGCAAAGACCAAAAAAUGAAACUUCACAUUUGAAAGAGGCUCUGCAGUCAGAUUUUGGUUCUAAUAUCCUACACAGCGCUAUCCUGGCACCCUGUGAGAUGGAGGAGGAGCAGGCACCAAGCAGAUUGCUGGAAAUCAGUGACCACAGGCCGUGCUUUCAAAGAGGUACCCCUACCGCUGAUCCUAUUGCUGACAUCUAUGUGGAGGCAUGGUGCUUUCCAUCCAGUUGAAGACAAAGACACAUGGCAGGUGGCCAUGUGAAGACAGAGGCAGAGAUUGGAGUUAUAUUUCUGCAAGCCAAGGAAUUCCAAGGGUUACCAGCAGCCACG
This is a long non-coding RNA of Lemur catta (Ring-tailed lemur), 554 nucleotides long. RefSeq lists it as uncharacterized. The record is from RefSeq and is a predicted model, not a curated record. The transcript has 4 exons. Lineage: Eukaryota; Metazoa; Chordata; Mammalia; Primates; Lemuridae.